GCAUUAGCAGCAUCACAGGUGCAGUCCCUGUUGCAAAAACAUAUUGAUGUAGUGUGUAACAUCAACCCUGACAAAACAAGGUCAGGAUAAGGAUUAGCACCUUCACAAGAGCUCCAAACAUGGCCUGAGAAAAAUCACUCAACUUCUUUUGGAACAG
Long non-coding RNA from Entelurus aequoreus (snake pipefish), 157 nucleotides. RefSeq lists it as uncharacterized. The record is from RefSeq and is a predicted model, not a curated record. The transcript has 3 exons. Lineage: Eukaryota; Metazoa; Chordata; Actinopteri; Syngnathiformes; Syngnathidae.